AAAACCCGGAAGGACCCAGCCGAAGGUUUUCUCCGGUUCGGGCAAGAGACGGGGUCCCGCUCUGUCACCCAGGCUGCCAGACUGGCGUACAGUGGUGCAAUCUCAGCUCACUGCAACCUGCACCUCCUGGGUUCAAGUGAUUUUCUUGUCUCUGCCUCCUGAGUAGCUGGGAUUACUGGCACACACCACCAUGCACUGGGAGACAUGAGACAUCAAUCAAUAUAUGUAAGCUGUACAUCAGUUUCGUCUGGAAAGAUGGGACAACAUGAAGCAGGGAGGGGGCUCCCAGGUCACAGGGAAUUUUCUGGUGGGCAAAUUGUGAGGGAGUUCCUUGUUCAAAAUGCCAAGAACCUGGAUGACUCAGAGUCAAGACCCUCCACCAGUAACAUAUAUUGGCGAGCCAGCCAGGAGCUUGGAACCCUCGGUGGACAGUGCCUAAGCACAGAGGCAACCACAGGUUUCUAACCAGGGCCACUCUCCGGUGAAACUGAAAGGUUUCUGUGUGAAAGUGCCUGACCACCACUGCCCGGUUCGGACCACUACAGGAAACACUCCAU
Molecule: non-coding RNA, 557 nt
Filed under: Pongo abelii (Sumatran orangutan)
Lineage: Eukaryota; Metazoa; Chordata; Mammalia; Primates; Hominidae
Source: RNAcentral